This 743-nucleotide ribosomal RNA is filed under the name uncultured marine bacterium. Its description in RNAcentral is "bacterial SSU rRNA". It matches the Rfam family "Bacterial small subunit ribosomal RNA", at positions 14 to 794 of the family's 1533-position model. The record is from RNAcentral.
UGAUCCUGGCUCAGAACGAACGCUGGCGGCAUGCCUCAUACAUGCAAGUCGAACGAGAAGGUACCUCGGGUAUUGGACAGUGGCGAACGGGUGCGUAACGCGUGGGAACUUACCGUAUAGUGGGGGACAACAGUUGGAAACGACUGCUAAUACCGCAUACGCCCUUCGGGGGAAAGCUUUAGUGCUAUACGAUAGGCCCGCGUUAGAUUAGCUAGUUGGUAAGGUAAUGGCUUACCAAGGCGACGAUCUAUAGCUGGUUUGAGAGGAUGAUCAGCCACACUGGGACUGAGACACGGCCCAGACUCCUGCGGGAGGCAGCAGUAGGGAAUAUUGGACAAUGGGGGCAACCCUGAUCCAGCAAUGCCGCGUGUGUGAAGAAGGCCUUAGGGUUGUAAAACACUUUCAACUGUGAAGAUGAUGACUGUAACAGUAGAAGAAGCUCCGGCUAACUCCGUGCCAGCAGCCGCGGUAAUACGGAGGGAGCUAGCGUUGUUCGGAAUUACUGGGCGUAAAGAGCACGUAGGCGGCUAGAUGCGUCAGGGGUGAAAUCCCGAGGCUUAACCUCGGAACUGCCUUUGAUACGGUCUAGCUAGAAUAUCGUAGAGGUUAGUGGAAUUCCAAGUGUAGAGGUGAAAUUCGUAGAUAUUUGGAAGAACAUCAGUGGCGAAGGCGACUAACUGGGCGAUUAUUGACGCUGAGGUGCGAAAGCGUGGGGAGCGAACGGGAUUAGAUACCCCGGUAGU